Molecule: ribosomal RNA, 520 nt
Filed under: uncultured Glomus
Lineage: Eukaryota; Fungi; Glomeromycota; Glomeromycetes; Glomerales; Glomeraceae
Description: SSU rRNA
Rfam family: Eukaryotic small subunit ribosomal RNA
Source: RNAcentral
AGUAGCCGCGGUAAUUCCAGCUCCAAUAGCGUAUAUUAAAGUUGUUGCAGUUAAAAAGCUCGUAGUUGAAUUUCGGGGUUAGUAGGUUGGUCGUGCCUUUGGUAUGUACUGGUCUCACUGAUUCCUCCUUCUUGAAGAACUGUAAUGUCAUUAAUUUGGUGUUGCAGGGAAACAGGACUGUUACUUUGAAAAAAUUAGAGUGUUUAAAGCAGGCUAAUGCCUGAAUACAUUAGCAUGGAAUAAUGAAAUAGGACGUUUGAUCCUAUUUUGUUGGUUUCUAGGAUUGACGUAAUGAUUAAUAGGGAUAGUUGGGGGCAUUAGUAUUCAAUUGUCAGAGGUGAAAUUCUUGGAUUUAUUGAAGACUAACUACUGCGAAAGCAUUUGCCAAGGAUGUUUUCAUUAAUCAAGAACGAAAGUUAGGGGAUCGAAGACGAUCAGAUACCGUCGUAGUCUUAACCAUAAACUAUGCCGACUAGGGAUCGGAUGAUGUUAAUUUUUAAUGACUCAUUCGGCGCCUUAC